UAAAUUUAAACAUUUUAAAUUUAUACCUACCUUAUGAUCCAGUAACUUUACUCCUAGAUAUGUACUUAAGAGACAUGAAGACAUAUGACCACAGGAAGACCUGUACAUGGAAGGUCCAUUCAUAGUAGCCCCAAACUGGAAACAAUCCAAAUGUCUAUCAGCAGGUGCAGGGGUAAACUGUGGUAUAUCCGUAGGAUGGAAUAUUACUGGGCAAUCAAGAGGAGUGAACUGCUUACACCUGCAACAAUGUGGACGGACCUCCAAAACACCAGGCUGAGGGAAGGAAGGCAACAUGAAAAAAUAUAUAGGUGUGAUUUCAUUUAUAUGAACACUAGAAGAACCAGUCUAAUCUAUGGUGACAGCUGAUUGGUGGUCUCCUGGAGCUGGGGAUUGAGAGCACUGACUGAGAAAGGACACGGAGAACUUUUUGGGCUGAGGGGAAAAGUUCAAAGACCUUUGGUGACACGUGUGUGUAGAGAACUGGAAAACGGACAGCAGCCGUGUUGUUCUUCAGUUCACGAGCUAUCUCACCGAAUCCGUGAACCGCGUGCCGGCCAUAGCACGGGAGAAAGUAACUCUAUAACGCUGAGGGGCACAUCUCCGUAGGGCUGCCUCCUGAACACUUAGAGGGUUUAGGUGAGGGCGGAGAGAGGGGCAACUGGAAGGAAAGAAUCAGUGUUGAUCUGACUCACCCUUCGGGCUCUGCGUUGAGCCUUCAUGGUCUAACAAGAUUUCCUUUGAGGUAAGAGAAUAUACCUUGCUUCCCUUCCACAGCUACAAGGGAUUUCAAGGUCAGAAACCUGUGCACGGAAAGAAAAUACCAGGAAAGACAUGUGUGGUGAGCUCUGUGACCUUGGGUCGCUAGUCAGUCUCAGAGCGUCUGAGGUAUGUCCCUGACAGUGACCUCCGGUUAGACCUCGGGUCCCGAGCCAGCUCCCGCCUCAGCACCUGGCUUCCCCAGCCUGCACUCUUGGCAGCACUUUCUCUCCUUGAUCCCAGUGCUAACAGCAACCCAGGCAAGACAGCCCCAUCCUGGACCUGCCCAGGCCCUUCCCGGGGGUCAGCACCAGGGAAGAGGGGGAGAGGAGGAAGCCGCAGCAGCUGGGCCGGUGGGACGGGUGAACCCAGCGGAGGACGGGAGGAGGUCAGGAGGGUUCCGGGCCUGAGACGGGGGCCCUGGGGCUGUUAGCCGGCCUGGGAGCUGGCAGCGUGUUGGUUUGCGUGUGGGAGUGAUUUUUUUGUUGAUUUCCAUGUGUGUACGCAUCAGGGCUGGGACUCUGAGAGGGCAUGUCUCUACUGUUCACCGCAGUGUGCCUAGCGAGAGGCAUCAUCGGGGCACUGCCAGAAGGGGGGGCCCACAAAGCAUCUGUCCUCGGAGAGAGAACAUGCGCGCCCGAGGCGGGAGGUUCUGCUGUUUUUUUUUACUGCUGUAUCUUCUGCGCUUGCCUGCCGUAUAAUAGACACGAAACAAAUACUUGCUUGUUGAAUGAAUUAAGGAUUUAAAAAUCACAAUCAAGGCUGGAAGCCUUUUUUUUGAAGGUUGUCAUCUGGGGAGCUCUGGGGCAGAAAUUUUGCAGAGCCUGAAUUCAAGAUCUAUCCAUCUGUUUAUUGAACACCUACUGUAUGCCCGGCACAGGGAUAGAUGUCUGAGGUAGAGAAAUGAAUCAGGCAUGAUCUCUGUCUUCAGAAGGAUCCCAGGAAAUUUGAAACAAAUUAAUGGGGGGAAAAACGCUGCUGGAAUUAGGUGGAACCAGAGAGGAAGUCGGCAGAAAUGGAUUGAAGCAUGGGUGGUUGUAUUAGAAGUUCCUCUCAGCCUAAAUUUCCUGACCUGUAAUGGGGGAUUAAUAACCGCUUCGGUUUACUGUAGGGGUUCUUGCGAGAAUUCGAUGAGCUAUCGCGUGAAGCUGGCGCGGCGCAGGGCGUGGCACGCAGGAGCAGGGGCUCACCAACGGCUUCUCAGAGGAGCGACCCAAGCGGGGUCUUUGGGGAUGACGGCAUGUUGGCCAGGUGGUCUCAGAAGAGGGUGGGGUAGGUGGCCUGAUGGUAAGGAUGGGACACAGCCCGUCUAGCCCAGCAGAUGACGAGGCCUCAGGAAGCCAUGGAGGGGGUGUUUAAAGUAGGAAUUGCCCUGACCUCCUCCCCCCCUACCCCUCAACACACAGCAACCGGAAGGCUCUGCUCUUUUCCAAGGAAUUUCUGUGGUGUCAUCUAUGCAUUUAGGGCCUUCUAAGGCAUGAUCGCUAGGAUGUGCUUCAGCUACACCCCCACGCACACAGAAGAUACCCACACAGUUCAGUUGUGGGUGACCCCUUGUGAAUUGUCAGUCUGCGUGAAGGAGGUACCCCCUAAUGCGCCUCGGUGUCAGGCUCUGUUCUAAGCAUUCUACCUCUACUGACUCUUUAAACCUUCACAACAAGCCAGUGAGGUAGGUGCUAUGAUUUGCCUCAUUUUUUUAAUUGAGAAAACAGGGACACAGAGGGGUUAAGUCAUUUGCCUGAGGCCACACAGCUGGGAACAUGUGGAGGUUGGCUUCAAACCCGGGCAGUCUGGUUGGAGCUCUUAGCCACCACUUGACGUUACAAACUGAAGAAGGGGUAGAGAAUCACAAUCUUUACUGUUUAUGUAGGUGUAAAAACUUCUUAAGUUUGCUUUGUCAGGAGUAUUAGAGACCUAUAUACCGCUAACCCUUUUCAGUUCUAGGGUCCUGGAGACUGAAAAAUCUGAAGACUGUCUAGACACUCUUCCCAGAGAAACACAUGGUUGCAAAAGUAAUUUUGGGGGGUUUGUGGGUCUCCUGAAGCCCUUACAGGCCUGUGAACUUGGGGCUCACGGGUCCAAGAUUUCCUAUUUGGCCUGGAGACGAGGGUAGGGCCGGAGGGUUGCUGCAGAGAUCAAGCAGGAGGCGGACUCAGACGUCCACAGCAGCCCUUAGCCACCCAGCUUAGUGCUCCGGAGGUGAAAGGAAUCAUUUCAAACUCUGAAUCAUCUGGAGCUGUUUCUUUACAUAUUUCUGCAAGAAAAGAAGCCUUUAUUUGGAAUGAUUUGCCAACAUAUUAUAAAUCAAGAGACAUACAACACAGACUUAAAGGAGCUACAGAAACUUACAAAGCCUAGGAGCUAUAAAAAUAAACUAUUUCCAGUGUUCCCAUAGCAAGACAUGUAAACUCAACUCCAGGGAAAAGAACAAAUGAAAUCAGCUCAAUUUCCAAGAGCUUACAAAUCUAGCUAAUAUAAUGCACAGCUAUUUUCUUCUUUAAAAAUUGAAUCAAGGAAAUGAACAAGAUUAAGAAGUAAAAAAAAAAUCAGAACCGGCAAUGAGAAGCAGCAGCUGUGACUCUCCCCGCCUGGAGUCCCAGACCCUAAAGAUGAGGAAAUGGGAGGCUUAGAAAGAUCAUUGCUUGCCCAAGGCCACACACAGUCGAUGUUCCAGCCCGAUUCCAACUUCCAGUCAGCGUUCCCAGCCCUUCACCAGAGCUGUCCGUAAUGUUCUAAUACUCCCUGGGACAUUCCUAUUUCCUGCUGAGAAAUAAGAAAACAACAAUGCUUCCCAAAGGCUGGUAAGCCUCAGCCUUGAGGCCUGGAAUCUCCAUUUUAGGAAAAGUGUUUCCAAGGGUGUCAAGCUCGGAAAGGAAAUGGGCCUGUGAGCCUCCUGGGAAAGAAUAUGAGAACCCACCAUCAGGAUUUCGCUGCAUUCCUCAGCAGCACGGGGCUGCCUAGGAAGUUCAUUUUGAUAAAAAAUAUAUAUCAAAAUGAAAGUGUGUGUGUGAGUGGGUGUGUGAAACAGAUCUGAGAAACGGACAGGCAAAAGUAAAGGAACUGAGUAUAAGGAGAGAAGUCAAAGGCAAAUAGUUUUCUUUGCAAAAAGCCCUCUUCAGUGCAUUUGAUUUUUUUUUUAUUAUGGAAAUAUUCAAACAUACACAAAAAUAAAGAAAUAGUGUAAUGAACCACUAUGUUCCUGUCAUUCGACUUCGAAAAUAUGAACUUUGUCAGUUUUUUUCACCUUU
Ailuropoda melanoleuca (giant panda) is the source of this 4004-nucleotide long non-coding RNA. RefSeq lists it as uncharacterized. The transcript is spliced from 5 exons. NCBI's taxonomy places the organism in Eukaryota, Metazoa, Chordata, Mammalia, Carnivora, Ursidae. The record is from RefSeq and is a predicted model, not a curated record.